AGCUCGACACCUACGGAGGCAGCAGUAGGGAAUCUUCCACAAUGGGCGCAAGCCUGAUGGAGCAACACCGCGUGAGUGAAGAAGGGUUUCGGCUCGUAAAGCUCUGUUGUUGGAGAAGAACGUGCGUGAGAGUAACUGUUCACGCAGUGACGGUAUCCAACCAGAAAGUCACGGCUAACUACGUGCUAGCAGCCGCGGUAAUCUGAGCGGGCUGGCAAGGC
Molecule: ribosomal RNA, 221 nt
Filed under: uncultured bacterium
Lineage: Bacteria
Description: partial 16S ribosomal RNA
Rfam family: Bacterial small subunit ribosomal RNA
Source: RNAcentral